This is a long non-coding RNA of Mercenaria mercenaria, 292 nucleotides long. RefSeq lists it as uncharacterized. NCBI's taxonomy places the organism in Eukaryota, Metazoa, Mollusca, Bivalvia, Venerida, Veneridae. The transcript is spliced from 3 exons. The record is from RefSeq and is a predicted model, not a curated record.
UAUUAUACCAACGUUCGUGAUGUACUACUAUUGAAGGCGGCUAUAUCAAUGCAGGGGGCCAUAACUCUAAAAUUAGGAUGCGGAGCCAGACGAAAAAUAGGAGGUGCGCAAGUUCAUAUCAUGAACUUAUGUACGAAGAAAGGAAGUAACGGCAUUUACUGACAACAUGAUUUUGACCAUAAAGUGCCAAACUACGGAGCCAGUUAGACAUUUUCUACAAGUGUGCCGAGCGUCCAUUUCGAUGUUUGUAAAAUGGCGGCGGAUCAACUUUGGAACUAUUUUUAUGUUUUAU